RNAcentral lists this ribosomal RNA (479 nucleotides) under uncultured bacterium. RNAcentral describes it as "bacterial SSU rRNA". It matches the Rfam family "Bacterial small subunit ribosomal RNA", at positions 28 to 507 of the family's 1533-position model. The record is from RNAcentral.
GAUGAACGCUAGCGGAGGCUUAACACAUGCAAGGUCGAGGGGUAAAUGGUAGCAAUACUAUGAGACCGGCGGACGGGUGCGUAACGCGUAUGCAACAUACCUUGUGCAGGGGGAUAGCCCGUGGAAACGCGGAUUAAUAUUCCAUAGUCCAGCUAUAUCGCAUGGUAUAGUUGGUAAAGAUUUAUCGGCACAAGUUUGGCAUGCGUCUGAUUAGCUUGUUGGUAGGGUAACGGCCUACCAAGGCUACGAUCAGUAGGGGUUCUGAGAGGAUUAACCCCCACACUGGUACUGAGACACGGACCAGACUCCUACGGGAGGCAGCAGUGAGGAAUAUUGGUCAAUGGGCGGAAGCCUGAACCAGCCAUCCCGCGUGAAGGAAGACAGCCUUACGGGUUGUAAACUUCUUUUCUGUCAGAAGAAUAAGCUUGUCGAGACGAGUGAUGCCGGUAUGACAGGAAUAAGCAUCGGCUAACUCCGUG